Molecule: long non-coding RNA, 288 nt
Filed under: Solanum melongena (eggplant)
Lineage: Eukaryota; Viridiplantae; Streptophyta; Magnoliopsida; Solanales; Solanaceae
Description: long non-coding RNA (SMEL_LNC000224)
Source: RNAcentral
GGGGUCCAGAUAAGUGUGGCUGAUUUGUUCUUUUACCAUGUCAGCCACACUCUCAUUUAGUCGAUCUUGAUAGUCCGAAUACGAGAAGUGUCUUAAUCUAGACACUCUCUAAGUUGAUAGGAUCCAAAUGAAAAAGGAAAUACAAUGGUAGGAUUUGCCAUCUUUCUUAUUAAAUAAUGAAAAACCAAUUGAUCGGGAAAGGUCUUGUUCAUGGUGGUAAGCGAGGGAGGAUUUAGUAAAGGGAUAAUGCCGCUUUAUACUAAUAUAGUCCCGAGUUGGUAAUUAGAG